GGGUUGUGAGGUUAAGCGACUAAGCGUACACGGUGGAUGCCCUGGCAGUCAGAGGCGAUGAAGGACGUGCUAAUCUGCGAUAAGCGUCGGUAAGGUGAUAUGAACCGUUAUAACCGGCGAUUUCCGAAUGGGGAAACCCAGUGUGUUUCGACACACUAUCAUUAACUGAAUCCAUAGGUUAAUGAGGCGAACCGGGGGAACUGAAACAUCUAAGUACCCCGAGGAAAAGAAAUCAACCGAGAUUCCCCCAGUAGCGGCGAGCGAACGGGGAGCAGCCCAGAGCCUGAAUCAGUGUGUGUGUUAGUGGAAGCGUCUGGAAAGGCGCGCGAUACAGGGUGACAGCCCCGUACACAAAAAUGCACAUGCUGUGAGCUCGAUGAGUAGGGCGGGACACGUGGUAUCCUGUCUGAAUAUGGGGGGACCAUCCUCCAAGGCUAAAUACUCCUGACUGACCGAUAGUGAACCAGUACCGUGAGGGAAAGGCGAAAAGAACCCCGGCGAGGGGAGUGAAAAAGAACCUGAAACCGUGUACGUACAAGCAGUGGGAGCACGCUUAGGCGUGUGACUGCGUACCUUUUGUAUAAUGGGUCAGCGACUUAUAUUCUGUAGCAAGGUUAACCGAAUAGGGGAGCCGAAGGGAAACCGAGUCUUAACUGGGCGUUAAGUUGCAGGGUAUAGACCCGAAACCCGGUGAUCUAGCCAUGGGCAGGUUGAAGGUUGGGUAACACUAACUGGAGGACCGAACCGACUAAUGUUGAAAAAUUAGCGGAUGACUUGUGGCUGGGGGUGAAAGGCCAAUCAAACCGGGAGAUAGCUGGUUCUCCCCGAAAGCUAUUUAGGUAGCGCCUCGUGAAUUCAUCUCCGGGGGUAGAGCACUGUUUCGGCAAGGGGGUCAUCCCGACUUACCAACCCGAUGCAAACUGCGAAUACCGGAGAAUGUUAUCACGGGAGACACACGGCGGGUGCUAACGUCCGUCGUGAAGAGGGAAACAACCCAGACCGCCAGCUAAGGUCCCAAAGUCAUGGUUAAGUGGGAAACGAUGUGGGAAGGCCCAGACAGCCAGGAUGUUGGCUUAGAAGCAGCCAUCAUUUAAAGAAAGCGUAAUAGCUCACUGGUCGAGUCGGCCUGCGCGGAAGAUGUAACGGGGCUAAACCAUGCACCGAAGCUGCGGCAGCGACGCUUAUGCGUUGUUGGGUAGGGGAGCGUUCUGUAAGCCUGCGAAGGUGUGCUGUGAGGCAUGCUGGAGGUAUCAGAAGUGCGAAUGCUGACAUAAGUAACGAUAAAGCGGGUGAAAAGCCCGCUCGCCGGAAGACCAAGGGUUCCUGUCCAACGUUAAUCGGGGCAGGGUGAGUCGACCCCUAAGGCGAGGCCGAAAGGCGUAGUCGAUGGGAAACAGGUUAAUAUUCCUGUACUUGGUGUUACUGCGAAGGGGGGACGGAGAAGGCUAUGUUGGCCGGGCGACGGUUGUCCCGGUUUAAGCGUGUAGGCUGGUUUUCCAGGCAAAUCCGGAAAAUCAAGGCUGAGGCGUGAUGACGAGGCACUACGGUGCUGAAGCAACAAAUGCCCUGCUUCCAGGAAAAGCCUCUAAGCAUCAGGUAACAUCAAAUCGUACCCCAAACCGACACAGGUGGUCAGGUAGAGAAUACCAAGGCGCUUGAGAGAACUCGGGUGAAGGAACUAGGCAAAAUGGUGCCGUAACUUCGGGAGAAGGCACGCUGAUAUGUAGGUGAAGCGACUUGCUGGUGGAGCUGAAAUCAGUCGAAGAUACCAGCUGGCUGCAACUGUUUAUUAAAAACACAGCACUGUGCAAACACGAAAGUGGACGUAUACGGUGUGACGCCUGCCCGGUGCCGGAAGGUUAAUUGAUGGGGUUAGCGCAAGCGAAGCUCUUGAUCGAAGCCCCGGUAAACGGCGGCCGUAACUAUAACGGUCCUAAGGUAGCGAAAUUCCUUGUCGGGUAAGUUCCGACCUGCACGAAUGGCGUAAUGAUGGCCAGGCUGUCUCCACCCGAGACUCAGUGAAAUUGAACUCGCUGUGAAGAUGCAGUGUACCCGCGGCAAGACGGAAAGACCCCGUGAACCUUUACUAUAGCUUGACACUGAACAUUGAGCCUUGAUGUGUAGGAUAGGUGGGAGGCUUUGAAGUGUGGACGCCAGUCUGCAUGGAGCCGACCUUGAAAUACCACCCUUUAAUGUUUGAUGUUCUAACGUUGACCCGUAAUCCGGGUUGCGGACAGUGUCUGGUGGGUAGUUUGACUGGGGCGGUCUCCUCCUAAAGAGUAACGGAGGAGCACGAAGGUUGGCUAAUCCUGGUCGGACAUCAGGAGGUUAGUGCAAUGGCAUAAGCCAGCUUGACUGCGAGCGUGACGGCGCGAGCAGGUGCGAAAGCAGGUCAUAGUGAUCCGGUGGUUCUGAAUGGAAGGGCCAUCGCUCAACGGAUAAAAGGUACUCCGGGGAUAACAGGCUGAUACCGCCCAAGAGUUCAUAUCGACGGCGGUGUUUGGCACCUCGAUGUCGGCUCAUCACAUCCUGGGGCUGAAGUAGGUCCCAAGGGUAUGGCUGUUCGCCAUUUAAAGUGGUACGCGAGCUGGGUUUAGAACGUCGUGAGACAGUUCGGUCCCUAUCUGCCGUGGGCGCUGGAGAACUGAGGGGGGCUGCUCCUAGUACGAGAGGACCGGAGUGGACGCAUCACUGGUGUUCGGGUUGUCAUGCCAAUGGCACUGCCCGGUAGCUAAAUGCGGAAGAGAUAAGUGCUGAAAGCAUCUAAGCACGAAACUUGCCCCGAGAUGAGUUCUCCCUGACCCUUUAAGGGUCCUGAAGGAACGUUGAAGACGACGACGUUGAUAGGCCGGGUGUGUAAGCGCAGCGAUGCGUUGAGCUAACCGGUACUAAUGAACCGUGAGGCUUAACCUUACAACGCCGAAGCUGUU
This 2930-nucleotide ribosomal RNA is filed under the name Escherichia coli. RNAcentral describes it as "bacterial LSU rRNA". It matches the Rfam family "Bacterial large subunit ribosomal RNA". The record is from RNAcentral. Lineage: Bacteria; Pseudomonadati; Pseudomonadota; Gammaproteobacteria; Enterobacterales; Enterobacteriaceae.